Molecule: non-coding RNA, 238 nt
Organism: Pelobates cultripes (western spadefoot toad)
Lineage: Eukaryota; Metazoa; Chordata; Amphibia; Anura; Pelobatidae
Source: the annotation of a GenBank genome assembly
GAUGGCUCUGUCUGGAGAAGUGGCAGUGGCUGGACAGGUGGCAGUGUGAUUGCUGGCUCUUGUGCAGCCACACGGUGGGCAGUCUCAAAAGACAGACCCUGGUCUUAUGUCAACCUCAAGGGAGCAGGCAAUCGAUUCUGCCGAGGACGGCACAGCCUCAAUCACACAAGGACAGGUAAAUGAAGCGAGUUGUCCUCUUUGCCUUUCUCAUCUAUUUCAGGUCAAAGGCAGUCUGUUG